This 543-nucleotide ribosomal RNA is filed under the name uncultured bacterium. RNAcentral's name for it is "bacterial SSU rRNA". It matches the Rfam family "Bacterial small subunit ribosomal RNA", at positions 777 to 1320 of the family's 1533-position model. The record is from RNAcentral.
AAUAGAUACCCGGGUAGUCCACGCCGUAAACGAUGGAUACUAGGUGUGGGAGGUAUCGAACCCUUCCGUGCCGCAGUAAACGCAAUAAGUAUCCCGCCUGGGGAGUACGGCCGCAAGGUUGAAACUCAAAGGAAUUGACGGGGGCCCGCACAAGCAGCGGAGCAUGUGGUUUAAUUCGAAGCAACGCGAAGAACCUUACCAGGACUUGACAUCUCCUGAAUUACCCGUAACUGGGGAAGUCCUUCGGGACAGGAAGACAGGUGGUGCGAUGGUUGUCGUCAGCUCGUGUCGUGAGAUGUUGGGUUAAGUCCCGCAACGAGCGCAACCCUUAUUGUUAGUUGCUAACAUUUAGUUGAGCACUCUAAUGAGACUGCCGGGGUACAACUCGGAGGAAGGUGGGGAUGACGUCAAAUCAUCAUGCCCCUUAUGUUCUGGGCUACACACGUGCUACAAUGGGCGCAACAACGGGAAGCGAGCUAGUGAUAGUGAGCAAAUCCCUAAAAAACGCUCUCAGUUCAGAUUGUAGGCUGAAACUCGCCUACA